UGAGUGCGAGCUGCUACGGCAGCGAAGUUGGUGACGUCAAGCUUCCAAGAAAAGCCCUAUACCCGUUAAGGCAUCAUGGCCUGUACCCGAAACCGACACAGGUGGGGUGGUAGAGAAUACCGAGGGGCGCGAGGUAACUCUCUCUAAGGAACUCGGCAAAAUGGCCCCGUAACUUCGGGAGAAGGGGUGCCACCGCAAGGUGGUCGCAGUGAAGAGGCCCAGGCGACUGUUUACCAAAAACACAGGUCUCCGCUAAGUCGCAAGACGAUGUAUGGGGGCUGACGCCUGCCCAGUGCCGGAAGGUUAAGGAAGCUGGUCAGCGCAAGCGAAGCUGGCGACUGAAGCCCCGGUGAACGGCGGCCGUAACAAUAACGGUCCUAAGGUAGCGAAAUUCCUUGUCGGGUAAGUUCCGACCCGCACGAAAGGCGUAACGAUCUGGGCGCUGUCUCGGAGAGAGGCUCGGCGAAAUAGAAUUGUCUGUGAAGAUGCGGACUACGUGCACCCGGACAGAAAGACCCUAUGAAGCUUUACUGUAGCUUGGUAUUGUGCCCGGGCUCUGAAUGCGCAGGAUAGGUGGUAGGCUUUGAUCAUCGGCAUGCGGGUCGAUGUGAGCCAACGGUGAGAUACCACUCUUUCAGAGCUAGGGUUCUAACAGUCACCCGUUAUCCGGGGACUGGACAGUAUCAGGUGGGCAGUUUGACUGGGGCGGUCGCCUCCUAAAAGGUAACGGAGGCGCGCAAAGGUCUGCUCAGGCUGGUUGGAAAUCAGCCGACGAGUGUAAAAGCAGAAGCAGGCUUGACUGUGAGACCUACAAGUCGAACAGGGAGGAAACUCGGCUUUAGUGAUCCGACGGUUCUGCGUGGAAGGGCCGUCGUUCAACGGAUAAAAGUUACUCUAAGGAUAACAGGCUGAUCUCCCCCAAGAGUUCACAUCGACGGGGAGGUUUGGCACCUCGAUGUCGGCUCAUCGCAACCUGGGGCUGAAGUCGGUCCCAAGGGUUGGGCUGUUCGCCCAUUAAAGCGGUACGCGAGCUGGGUUCAGAACGUCGUGAGACAGUUCGGUCCAUAUCCGGUGCAUGCGCAGGAAUAUUGAGAGGAGUUCUCCCUAGUACGAGAGGACCGGGAGGAACGCACCUCUGGUGUACCAGUUAUCGUGCCAACGGUAAACGCUGGGUAGCCAUGUGCGGAGAGGAUAACCGCUGAAAGCAUCUAAGUGGGAAGCCCACCUCAAGAUGAGUAUUCCCAUGGCGUUAGCCAGUAAGGUCACGGGAAGAACACCCGUUGAUAGGCUCUAUGUGGAAGCGCAGUAAUGCGUGAAGC
This 1319-nucleotide ribosomal RNA is filed under the name metagenome. RNAcentral describes it as "bacterial LSU rRNA". It matches the Rfam family "Bacterial large subunit ribosomal RNA", at positions 1564 to 2891 of the family's 2925-position model. The record is from RNAcentral.